GACGAACGCUGGCGGCGUGCUUAACACAUGCAAGUCGAACGGAAAGGCCCCUUUGGGGGUACUCGCGUGGCGAACGGGUGAGUAACACGUGAGUAACCUGCCCUUGACUUCGGGAUAACUUCAGGAAACUGGGGCUAAUACCGGAUAGGAAUCCUUGCUUCAUGGCGGGGGUUGGAAAGCUUCGGCGGUUUUGGAUGGACUCGCGGCUUAUCAGCUUGUUGGUGGGGUAGUGGCUUACCAAGGCUUUGACGGGUAGCCGGCCUGAGAGGGCGACCGGCCACCUUGGGACUGAGAUACGGCCCAGACUCCGAAGGGAGGCAGCAGUGGGGAAUAUUGCACAAGGGGCGGAAGCCUGAUGCAGCAAGGCCGCGUGCGGGAUGACGGCCUUCGGGUUGUAAACCGCUUUCAGCAGGGGAGAAGCUUGUGGUGACGGUACCUGCAGAAGAAGCACCGGCUAACUACGUG
RNAcentral lists this ribosomal RNA (465 nucleotides) under uncultured bacterium. Its description in RNAcentral is "partial 16S ribosomal RNA". It matches the Rfam family "Bacterial small subunit ribosomal RNA", at positions 28 to 507 of the family's 1533-position model. The record is from RNAcentral.